This 441-nucleotide ribosomal RNA is filed under the name uncultured bacterium. RNAcentral's name for it is "partial 16S ribosomal RNA". It matches the Rfam family "Bacterial small subunit ribosomal RNA", at positions 338 to 795 of the family's 1533-position model. The record is from RNAcentral.
CCUACGGGAGGCUGCAGUGGGGGAUAUUGCACAAUGGGGGGAACCCUGAUGCAGCGACGCCGCGUGGGUGAAGAAGCGCCUCGGCGCGUAAAGCCCUGUCAGCGGGGAAGAAAAUGACGGUACCUGAAGAAGAAGCCCCGGCUAACUACGUGCCAGCAGCCGCGGUCAUACGUAGGGGGCAAGCGUUAUCCGGAUUGACUGGGUGUAAAGGGAGCGCAGACGGCGAUGCAAGCCAGGCGUGAAAGCCCGGGGCGCAACCCCGGGGCUGCUCUUGGAACUGCGUGGCUGGAGUGCAGGUGGGGCAGGCGGAAUUCCUGGGGUAGCGGUGAAAUGCGUAGAUAUCAGGAGGAACACCGGUGGCGAAGGCGGCCUGCUGGACUGCAACUGACGUUGAGGCCCGAAAGCGUGGGGAGCAAACAGGAUUAGAUACCCCGAGUAGUC